Regulatory RNA element from Plesiomonas shigelloides 302-73, 91 nucleotides. It matches the Rfam family "TPP riboswitch aptamer (THI element)". Rfam says of the family: Vitamin B(1) in its active form thiamin pyrophosphate (TPP) is an essential coenzyme that is synthesised by coupling of pyrimidine and thiazole moieties in bacteria. NCBI's taxonomy places the organism in Bacteria, Pseudomonadati, Pseudomonadota, Gammaproteobacteria, Enterobacterales, Enterobacteriaceae. The record is from Rfam.
CCGUUCUCAACGGGGUGCCGCGAGGCUGAGAUAACACCCGUCGAACCUGAUCCGGUUUAUACCGGCGGAGGGAUUUGAGAUCUGCUGUUUG